GUGGGGAAUUUUGGACAAUGGGCGCAAGCCUGAUCCAGCAAUGCCGCGUGCAGGAAGAAGGCCUUCGGGUUGUAAACUGCUUUUGUACGGAACGAAACGGUCCGGGUUAAUACCCUGGGCUAAUGACGGUACCGUAAGAAUAAGCACCGGCUAACUACGUGCCAGCAGCCGCGGUAAUACGUAGGGUGCAAGCGUUAAUUGGAAUUACUGGGCGUAAAGCGUGCGCAGGCGGUUUUGUAAGACAGGCGUGAAAUCCCCGGGCUCAACCUGGGAAUUGCGCUUGUGACUGCAAGGCUGGAGUGCGGCAGAGGGGGAUGGAAUUCCGCGUGUAGCAGUGAAAUGCGUAGAUAUGCGGAGGAACACCGAUGGCGAAGGCAAUCCCCUGGGCCUGCACUGACGCUCAUGCACGAAAGCGUGGGGAGCAAACAGGAUUAGAAACCCUGGUAGUCC
RNAcentral lists this ribosomal RNA (450 nucleotides) under uncultured bacterium. RNAcentral's name for it is "partial 16S ribosomal RNA". It matches the Rfam family "Bacterial small subunit ribosomal RNA", at positions 354 to 796 of the family's 1533-position model. The record is from RNAcentral.